This 511-nucleotide ribosomal RNA is filed under the name uncultured bacterium. Its description in RNAcentral is "bacterial SSU rRNA". It matches the Rfam family "Bacterial small subunit ribosomal RNA", at positions 28 to 372 of the family's 1533-position model. The record is from RNAcentral.
GACGAACGCUGGCGGCGUGCCUAACACAUGCAAGUCGAACGAAGUAAGUUGCUUCACCAAGUGUUGAAUAGCUACCCCCAAGCGCAUUUGCCAAAGGGUAAGCAAAAAGUACUAUCAAUUAAAUAAAAUGGUGAAACAAAAGAAUAGCGAAGAAGAAGCAAAUGCGCUUCACGCUAAUUCCAAGUACCAACACAAAACAAAUUCAAUGUUUGGUGAAGCAACUUGCUUAGUGGCGGACGGGUGAGUAACGCGUGAACAAUCUGCCCCGUACAAAGGGAUAGCCUCGGGAAACCGGGAUUAAAACCCAUAUAACACUUAACUGCCGCAUGGUAGUGAAGUCAAAUCGAUUAAGAGGUAUGGGAUGAGUUCGCGUCUGAUUAGCUAGUUGGUGAGGUAAGGGCUCACCAAGGCGACGAUCAGUAGCCGGCCUGAGAGGGUGAACGGCCGACACUGGAACUGAGACACGGUCCAGACUCCUACGGGAGGCGAGCAGUGGGGAAUAUUGCACAAU